RNAcentral lists this ribosomal RNA (265 nucleotides) under uncultured bacterium. RNAcentral's name for it is "partial 16S ribosomal RNA". It matches the Rfam family "Bacterial small subunit ribosomal RNA", at positions 793 to 1055 of the family's 1533-position model. The record is from RNAcentral.
GUCCACGCCGUAAACGAUGGAUGCUAGAUGUUGGGGGUAUUGACCCCUCCGGCGUCGCAGCUAACGCAUUAAGCAUCCCGCCUGGGGAGUACGGCCGCAAGGCUAAAACUCAAAGGAAUUGACGGGGGCCCGCACAAGCGGUGGAGCAUGUGGUUUAAUUCGACGCAACGCGAAGAACCUUACCUGGGUUAAAUCCGCCGGAAUCUGCCAGAGAUGGUGGAGUGCCCUUCGGGGAACCGGCGAGAAGGUGCUGCAUGGCUGUCGU